RNAcentral lists this ribosomal RNA (427 nucleotides) under uncultured bacterium. RNAcentral describes it as "partial 16S ribosomal RNA". It matches the Rfam family "Bacterial small subunit ribosomal RNA", at positions 355 to 774 of the family's 1533-position model. The record is from RNAcentral.
UGGGGAAUAUUGCACAAUGGGCGCAAGCCUGAUGCAGUCAUGCCGCGUGUAUGAAGAAGGCCUUCGGGUUGUAAAGUACUUUCAGCGGGGAGGAAGGCGAUAAGGUUAAUAACCUUGUCGAUUGACGUUACCCGCAGAAGAAGCACCGGCUAACUCCGUGCCAGCAGCCGCGGUAAUACGGAGGGUGCAAGCGUUAAUCGGAAUUACUGGGCGUAAAGCGCACGCAGGCGGUCUGUCAAGUCGGAUGUGAAAUCCCCGGGCUCAACCUGGGAACUGCAUUCGAAACUGGCAGGCUAGAGUCUUGUAGAGGGGGGUAGAAUUCCAGGUGUAGCGGUGAAAUGCGUAGAGAUCUGGAGGAAUACCGGUGGCGAAGGCGGCCCCCUGGACAAAGACUGACGCUCAGGUGCGAAAGCGUGGGGAGCAAACA